RNAcentral lists this ribosomal RNA (1681 nucleotides) under Priestia megaterium. RNAcentral's name for it is "partial 23S ribosomal RNA". It matches the Rfam family "Bacterial large subunit ribosomal RNA", at positions 1252 to 2925 of the family's 2925-position model. The record is from RNAcentral. Lineage: Bacteria; Bacillati; Bacillota; Bacilli; Caryophanales; Bacillaceae.
GAAGUCAGACCGUAAGGACUGGUGGAGCGCUUAGAAGUGAGAAUGCCGGUAUGAGUAGCGAAAGACAAGUGAGAAUCUUGUCCACCGAAUGCCUAAGGUUUCCUGAGGAAGGCUCGUCCGCUCAGGGUUAGUCGGGACCUAAGCCGAGGCUGAAAAGCGUAGGCGAUGGCCAACAGGUUGAUAUUCCUGUACCACCUCCCCGCCGUUUGAGUAAUGGGGGGACGCAGUAGGAUAGGGUAAGCGCGCUGCUGGAUAUGCGCGUUCAAGCAGUUAGGCUGAUGAGUAGGCAAAUCCGCUCAUCAUAAAGGCUGAGCUGUGAUGACGAGGGAAUUAUAGUACCGAAGUUCCUGAUUCCACACUGCCAAGAAAAGCCUCUAGCGAGGCGGGAGGUGCCCGUACCGCAAACCGACACAGGUAGGCGAGGAGAGAAUCCUAAGGUGAUCGAGAGAACUCUCGUUAAGGAACUCGGCAAAAUGACCCCGUAACUUCGGGAGAAGGGGUGCUCUGGUAGGGUGUAUAGCCCGAGAGAGCCGCAGUGAAUAGGCCCAGGCGACUGUUUAGCAAAAACACAGGUCUCUGCGAAGCCGCAAGGCGAAGUAUAGGGGCUGACGCCUGCCCGGUGCUGGAAGGUUAAGAGGAGGGGUUAUCCUUUGGGAGAAGCUCUGAAUCGAAGCCCCAGUAAACGGCGGCCGUAACUAUAACGGUCCUAAGGUAGCGAAAUUCCUUGUCGGGUAAGUUCCGACCCGCACGAAAGGCGUAACGAUCUGGGCACUGUCUCAACGAGAGACUCGGUGAAAUUAUAGUACCUGUGAAGAUGCAGGUUACCCGCGACAGGACGGAAAGACCCCGUGGAGCUUUACUGUAGCCUGAUAUUGAAUUUUGGUACAGCUUGUACAGGAUAGGUAGGAGCCUGAGAAGCCGGAGCGCUAGCUUCGGUGGAGGCGUCGGUGGGAUACUACCCUGGCUGUAUUGAAAUUCUAACCCGCGGCCCUGAUCGGGCCGGGAGACAGUGUCAGGUGGGCAGUUUGACUGGGGCGGUCGCCUCCUAAAAUGUAACGGAGGCGCCCAAAGGUUCCCUCAGAAUGGUUGGAAAUCAUUCGUAGAGUGUAAAGGCACAAGGGAGCUUGACUGCGAGACCUACAAGUCGAGCAGGGACGAAAGUCGGGCUUAGUGAUCCGGUGGUUCCGCAUGGAAGGGCCAUCGCUCAACGGAUAAAAGCUACCCCGGGGAUAACAGGCUUAUCUCCCCCAAGAGUCCACAUCGACGGGGAGGUUUGGCACCUCGAUGUCGGCUCAUCGCAUCCUGGGGCUGUAGUCGGUCCCAAGGGUUGGGCUGUUCGCCCAUUAAAGCGGUACGCGAGCUGGGUUCAGAACGUCGUGAGACAGUUCGGUCCCUAUCCGUCGUGGGCGUAGGAAAUUUGAGAGGAGCUGUCCUUAGUACGAGAGGACCGGGAUGGACACACCGCUGGUGUACCAGUUGUCUUGCCAAAGGCAUCGCUGGGUAGCUAUGUGUGGACGGGAUAAGUGCUGAAAGCAUCUAAGCAUGAAGCCCCCCUCAAGAUGAGAUUUCCCAUAGCGUAAGCUAGUAAGAUCCCUGAAAGAUGAUCAGGUUGAUAGGUCAGAGGUGGAAGCGUGGCGACAUGUGUAGCUGACUGAUACUAAUCGAUCGAGGACUUAACCAA